This 255-nucleotide ribosomal RNA is filed under the name uncultured bacterium. Its description in RNAcentral is "partial 16S ribosomal RNA". It matches the Rfam family "Bacterial small subunit ribosomal RNA", at positions 524 to 776 of the family's 1533-position model. The record is from RNAcentral.
GACAGAGGGUGCAAACGUUGUUCGGAGUUACUGGGCGUAAAGCGAGUGUAGGCGGUUCGAUAAGUCGGAUGUGAAAGCCCCGGGCUCAACCCGGGAAGUGCACUCGAUACUGUCGAGCUAGAGUAUCGGAGAGGUUGGUGGAAUUCUCGGUGUAGAGGUGAAAUUCGUAGAUAUCGAGAGGAACACCGGUGGCGAAGGCGGCCAACUGGACGAAUACUGACGCUGAGACUCGAACGAGCGUGGGAGGCAAACAGG